This 257-nucleotide ribosomal RNA is filed under the name uncultured bacterium. RNAcentral's name for it is "partial 16S ribosomal RNA". It matches the Rfam family "Bacterial small subunit ribosomal RNA", at positions 524 to 776 of the family's 1533-position model. The record is from RNAcentral.
UACGUAGGCAGCAAGCGUUGUUCGGAGUUACUGGGCGUAAAGCGUGCGCAGGCGGUUUGGCAAGUCAGAUGUGAAAUCCCCCGAGCUCAACUUGGGAACUGCGUUUGAAACUGCCAGACUAGAAUAUGUCAGAGGGGGGUAGAAUUCCACGUGUAGCAGUGAAAUGCGUAGAGAUGUGGAGGAAUACCAAUGGCGAAGGCAGCCCCCCUGGGAUAAGUAUUUGACGCUCAUGCACGAAAGCGUGGGGAGCAAACAGG